UACCUGUGGAGAGAAAAGGAGAGAGAGGGAAUAACACGAGGAGGAAUAGAGCGAACCCUGUACUUACAGUACGCUGUGUCCAGCCCAGAGGUGAAAGCCAUCCAAAGCAGAGUAACUGUGCUUUGCGUCCAAGUUGAUACCUGUGGAGAGGAAAGGAAAGAGAGAGUGAGUAACACAAGGAGAAACAGAGGAAACCUGUACUUACAGUACGCUGUGUCCAGCCCAGAGGUGAGAGCAAAACCAAGCCGAAUUAACUGUGCCUUUGUGUCCCAGCCGUUGCCUGUGGAGGAAGAGAAAGAGAGUGAGCACCCCGAGAACGAACUGUGUGAACCAGUACUUACUGUGAGCUGUAAUCAGCGAAGAGGUGAGAGCAAAACCAAGCCGAAUUAACUGUGCCUUUGUGUCCCAGCCGUUGCCUGUGGAGGAAGAGAAAGAGAGUGAGCACCCCGAGAACGAACUGUGUGAACCAGUACUUACCGUGAGCUGUAUUCAGCGAAGAGGAGGAAGAAGGAGGGCGCUACGGAUACCUAAGACUCAGGCCGGGGCCCGAGUCCCACGCCCCGGAUCCCCGUGGCCCCCUUGCUCCCUGACCUCUUCCCGGCCAUAGCCCAUCUGGAGGGCCGAGUCAGAGUUUAGUUUUAAUUGCCCUUUCCCUAUUCCCCAAGCUAUUUUUAAAUAUUUAAAUAAAGAUUGUUUUAUCACUUACUUGUUCUCGUGU
This is a long non-coding RNA of Cyprinus carpio (common carp), 718 nucleotides long. Lineage: Eukaryota; Metazoa; Chordata; Actinopteri; Cypriniformes; Cyprinidae. The record is from Ensembl.